ACCUUAUUGAAGAGUCGCAGAAUAGGACGAAACGGCUGUCCAGUGU
This 46-nucleotide non-coding RNA is filed under the name Trichobilharzia regenti. Lineage: Eukaryota; Metazoa; Platyhelminthes; Trematoda; Strigeidida; Schistosomatidae. The record is from RNAcentral.